AACGAACGCUGGCGGCAUGCCUAACACAUGCAAGUCGAACGAGACCUUCGGGUCUAGUGGCGCACGGGUGCGUAACGCGUGGGAACAUGCCCUUAGGUUCGGAAUAACUCCCCGAAAGGGGUGCUAAUACCGGAUAAUGUCUUCGGACCAAAGAUUUAUCGCCUUUGGCUGGGCCCGCGUUGGAUUAGCUAGUUGGUAGGGUAAAAGCCUACCAAGGCGACGAUCCAUAGCUGGUCUGAGAGGAUGAUCAGCCACACUGGGACUGAGACACGGCCCAGACUCCUACGGGAGGCAGCAGUGGGGAAUAUUGGACAAUGGGCGAAAGCCUGAUCCAGCAAUGCCGCGUGAGUGAUGAAGGCCUUAGAGUUGUAAAGCUCUUUUACCCGGGAUGAUAAUGACAGUACCGGGAGAAUAAGCUCCGGCUAACUCCGUG
RNAcentral lists this ribosomal RNA (433 nucleotides) under uncultured bacterium. Its description in RNAcentral is "partial 16S ribosomal RNA". It matches the Rfam family "Bacterial small subunit ribosomal RNA", at positions 29 to 507 of the family's 1533-position model. The record is from RNAcentral.